GUGUGUGUUGCCGGUGAUUAUAUCAUGCUGUCUGAAACCUCGUGUGGAUUUCCUCAGCAUUCGUCACUACCCCUGAGGCAGCACCUCU
This 88-nucleotide small nucleolar RNA is filed under the name Hucho hucho (huchen). Its description in RNAcentral is "Small nucleolar RNA SNORD70 (ENSHHUG00000037438.1)". The record is from RNAcentral. Lineage: Eukaryota; Metazoa; Chordata; Actinopteri; Salmoniformes; Salmonidae.